This is a long non-coding RNA of Numida meleagris (helmeted guineafowl), 1104 nucleotides long. RefSeq lists it as uncharacterized. The record is from RefSeq and is a predicted model, not a curated record. Lineage: Eukaryota; Metazoa; Chordata; Aves; Galliformes; Numididae. The transcript is spliced from 4 exons.
UCCUCAAGCCUCCAUUUUGCAGCUCUGAUGCAAGAGGCCAAUAGCGUAGAUGGCAGCUACAUUGUGACGACAGCAUAGGAAUACAGCGCUGCUGAGAACAAGGCUGCGAUGAAGACUUCUGUGACUUGAUUCCAAGAUAGCUGCUGGCAGGAGAAUGUGGAUCAUUUCGUGUCUACAGAUACUGAACAGUUAAUCAGUAGGGUGAAGUGACAAGUUACUGAUACACCUUAAUCCAAAAGAGAAUCUAUCUUCCUCUAGAUAUACAUCUCUGUGCAGAGGGGUGAAGUCCAAAAGAAUGAGAGGUGCAAAAAUAUAUCAAUGUAUAUAUUCACUCACAACUACCUGGCUAAUAGUUUAAGUGAGACGUGCUCCAUGUCACAUAUAUCCAGUUUUUACAUCUGAAGACUUAACUGGGUUUCAGGAACCCAGUGAAUUAACAAAAUCAACAGUGAGGAAAGAUUGAAAGAUUUUCUCAAUCAUUUUUAAGUAAGUGACCACAUUUUGAACCCGGACUGAGAAGGCUCCAGAGACAGCUUUAUAAGAAGCUCUGAGUAAUCAAAAAGGAAUCCGUACUAAAAGAAGGAAAGAACGAAAUGGAGACUUCUAACCAAGAGGAUGGCUGAGCUUCCGAAACUUCUGACAGCAUAAAAAGACAGAUGUCUCCUAGAUAGUGCAUAAUUCUUCUUUGGUUUAUUUUGGCGUAAAUGGAGAAUAACCAUUCAAGACAAGAAAAACAACUCAAUGGAUGCCCAUAGCCAUGAACAAACAAAUACAAGGUCCUUGGAGUUCUGUUGUGCUCACAGAAAACAGAUGCAGAUAUAAUUAAACUAUGGAGGGUCUCAAGACAGACUUGAAAGCCUUCCCAAAGAGAGGUAAUAAAGAGAACAUUGAUACAAGAACUUGUUAAGACAAAUGAGUUUCAAGACAGUGAUCUAUGUUGGUGAAUUUACGUAAAGGAUCUUGCAGUCACUCCAACCCCAACACUGCCUGACAGCAGAUGUCUUUAUGAAGGAAGUUAUAGAGAAGAGUGACUGCGACAUUGGCCUCUCCUGCUGAAGGCUAGGUUUAUUACUCAAAAUAAAGCAAAAAGAAUAAAUUACUAGA